Molecule: long non-coding RNA, 593 nt
Filed under: Homo sapiens (human)
Lineage: Eukaryota; Metazoa; Chordata; Mammalia; Primates; Hominidae
Description: HSALNT0092645
Source: RNAcentral
CCAGGCCCCUCCUUGUUAAGGAAGAACACAGAGGAAGCAGAGAACAUGGAAGUAGCAUUAGAGUGGAAUCAGGAGAGCUGGACCCAAACCCUGCAGUCACUUAGCUUCCGGUCUUUCUGUUAGUACAUAUGGCCAACUGGCCUACUCUAGUGGGCAGUAUGUACACAGGUUGAACAAAUAGAAGUUUGGAAGAGGUCAUUAAUGGUAUGAAAUUCCUUUCCUUCCCUUUGUUUAACCGGCCAAAUUUGCUUUGACAUAUGUUAGAGAUGGGAGCUUUGGGAUUAAAGACUGUAAAACAGAAACUCCUUUACAAACUAACUUUGAAUUUAGGAGUUUGGAGAGAGACAAACAAAACUAUAUGUUUGUGUAAGAGUAUUGCCUCAGCCCCAUCUCAGCAGAGUAUCACUGCCAACAGAUGGUGUCAGCAGUUAUGGAGUUAAAUUAGUCAUAGGCAUAGUGCUGUUUUUUUGCCCCAUGACAAUUUGUAACAUUUGUCCUUCAUUUCCAGAUCUGUUACCAGAUCAUAUAAAAUCCCGUAAAUUCAAAAGCAUUGAAUGUGCUUAAAAAAUGAUAGAAAUCAAAGUGAUGUUAGC